CAACAUCAAAUACUUACACAUCACUCAUUAGCAAAAUCAUCAUUACAAACAUACAAAAUAACUAAAUCCCUAUACAUGCCAUAACUCAAACGUGUUUCGAUAUAAAAUACCGAGCAGUUGUAGUUGAUAGUGUGAACGAUCUCCGACUUCUUUAGGAUCCUUGAAGUAGCUUUGCAAUACUAUAAGAGAAAGAGAAAUAAAAUAAGUAAGCAUAAAGCUUAGUAAGUUUACUAGCAAAUAAAUAACAAUAUUUAACUUAAAUAAUUAAACUCAAUGUCUAUAUCUCUAGUUUACUCUUUAGUUAAUCUCAUACUAGUUCUCUUACUUGUUUACUUAGAAUACUUGUGUGCAUAACUUACUCAAUCCUUGCUGCAUCGUUGAACAUCAAUUGAUAGUAUAAUAAGUUCUUAAGUCUUACAACUUACCUGAGCUUGCCAUUUAUGCUUUAAACUGAACUUUCAUGAACAUGAUUCGUUUACAAGCCCGUUGAGCUACAUUGGAAUAAUAAGGAUACUCGGGUCUCUUCUGAUAAUAACAUGCCAAAGCCAUGUCCCAGACAUGGUCUUACAUGGGAUGUUCUCGUGAUGGUGCCCAUGCCAUGUCCCAGACAUGGUCUUAUAGGGGACCUAUCAUCUCGGUGCCAACGCCAUGUCCCAGACAUGGUCUGACAUGGGACCUCUCGUCUCGGUGCCCAUGCCAUGUCCCAGACAUGGUCUUACAGGGGACCUCUCAUGAUCUUAAGGAUGCCAAUGCCAUGUCCCAGACAUGGUCUUACAUGGGAUCUCUUUACCCAAAUGUCAUGACAUUCGUAUCCAGUACCAUCCUUAUGUAUCAACGGGACUUUUAAAUUUUAAUUCUCUAUCAUUUCAUGCUUGGAUCAUCAUCAAAUAAAUUCAUAAAAUAAAUUCAUAAUUGCUGGAAAUUAACAGCAUUAAUAAUAAAUAUUGAAAUAUUGCAUUUAUUUACCGUAAACUUAUCUCGGUACCAAUUAUAGCCAAAUUCACCAACUUAGUCUUCAACUUUAUUCUUCCCUUUGUCUAACCUCGAGUUUCGUACUUCUUGAUCUAAAAUAGUAAAUUUAACUUAUUUAAUAAUCACAUUCAUUAAAACAGCCCUCGACUCUAACUUUUUCAAAAUUACAAUUUUGCCCCUAAACUUUUACAUAAUUACAUUUUUGCCCCAAGGCUCGGAAAUUAAACUUCAUCUCUUAUUCUUAUGUUUUAUAACAUUCUGAACAUUUUUCCCUUCUAUGGCAACAUCAAAUUCCCACUCUAACAUGUACUUAUGAACAUUAGGUAUUUUUACCGAUUAUGUCGUUUUACUCGUUUUCACUUAAAAUCGCUUAGCGAAAGUUGUUUAACAUAAUUUCUAGCUUCAUAUUCUAUCAUAAAACAUCAAAAUAAACACUUUUCACCUAUGGGUAUUUUUCCAAAUAUAAACCCUAGGUUAAAUUAUUGCUAGAAUAAGCUAAAUUAAGCUACCGGGAUCUCAAAAACGUAAAGAACAUUAAAAACGGGGCUUGGGAUCACUUACUAUGGAGCUUGGAAGCUUGAAAACCCUAACUAUGGCUUCCCCCCUUGCUGAUUUCGUUCAUAUGAAGAAGAUGAUGAUUUUUUCCAUCUUUUUCCCUUUUAAUUCAUUUUAAUUACUAGAUUACCAAAUUGCCCCUAACUUAAAAAUUUUCUAUUUCACUUAUCUCAUGUCCAUUUUUGUCUACCAAGUUACAAAUGGUAUAAUUACCAUAUAAGGACCUCCAAUUUAAAGUUUCAUAACAAUUGGACACCUCUAAUGUAACACCCCUUACCCGUAUCCAACACCGGAAUAGGGUACGAGGCAUUACCAAAACACAUACACUUGUAAACGUAUUUAACCGAGUUAUAAAAUUUCAUCAAAAUUAAAACUUUCAAAAAUAAUUAACAUGUUUCUAUAACUUUUCACAAUAUAUCCUUAAAAUAUUAUAAUCAUAAUAAUUAGGGCCUGCGAGACCCGAUACAUACUCAUGCAAUUUAAUGCUUCAUUUCCAUUUCAUUCAAUUCGCAAUUUCUCAUGCUCAUAAUUUAAAUCAUAUCACUAGAAAUUUCCAUUUAAUUCACGUACAAUUCAAUGACAUCAAAUUCAAAACUAAUACGUAUUUACCAUUUAACUCAAUGUUUAUUGAUUAUACCAUUCAAUAACACAUUUAUGAAAUUCUCAAUUUAGCAAUGAAAAUAUCACUUUAGUUUGAAUAACAACAUCGUCCUGAUAUAAAUACACUACCACUUAUCCAUUUACUUUAAUUCUUUUGGGCCCAUUUGUCACUUACCAUCUUUAAUCAAAUUAGGGAACGGUCACGGAAAAUUGAGUACUUCACUUUCACUUUGCCAUAGUAUAACUAUGGUCUUACGUAUGAUCACUUAUCACUUGUCCCUGAUCAGAUAAGUGUAGCCACCUAUCACUUUGUUUCUUGAUCAGAUAAGUGUAGCCACUUAUCACUUUGUUUCUUGAUCAGAUAAGUGUAGCCACUUAUCACUUUGUCUCUUGAUCAGAUAAGUGUAGCUAAAGCUAUCACUUAUCACUUUGUCUCUUGAUCAGAUAAGUAUAGCCGAAGCUAUCACUUAUCACUUUUCACUUGUCACUUGAUCAGAUAAGUGUAGCCGAAGCUAUCACUUAUCACUUUCCACUUGUCACUUGAUCAGAUAAGUGUAGCUGAAGCUAUCACUUAUCACUUUGAUCAGAAGUACUCAAAUCCGGCGUUCCGCUCAAUUUGAUCAUUUAUUCAUAUAUCAGGCUUACCAACAUGUGUUAAUUCAUAAACCAUUCAUGGUAUUAUUUCAUGCCAAAUCAUAUACUGAAUAUACCAUACACACAUACUAUGAAACUUUAUUUUCACACAUGAGCUUAAACCAUGACCAAUAAUGCACAAAAAUAAGCAUCAUUCAUAUUUCAUCGUUUAUGAGUUAUAAUCAAACAUAUGACCAUUUAUACACGAAUCAUUCAUAUAUUUCCCAAUUUUCCUCCUCCUCCUCUCCAUUCCACAUCCUUAAUGUGUAUAACACACUUAAACAACAUUAACCAUAAUUUCAAUAUUCACUAACAUGUAUAUUCAAAGCUGUUUAUCCGAGUCAGAGUCACUAAAUUAUUUUUAUCCGGAGCUACAGAGCUCAAAAUUAAGAUCCGUUAAUUUUCCCUGAAACUAGACUCACAUAUCUUCAUACCAUAAAAUUUUCAUAAUUUUUGGUUCAGCCAAAUAGUACAUUUUAUUCUUUAAAUUUUCCCCUGUUUCGCUGUCUGACAGUUCCGACCACUCUUCACUAAAAAUUAAUUAUCUCAUUGUACAGAAUUCGGAUGAUGUUUUAGCUUGUUUCUUAUAAAAAUAGACUCAUUAAGGAUUCUAACCAUAUAAACUAUAACUCAUAAUAAUUUCUGUACAAUUUUUAAUGAUUUUCCAAAGUCAGAACAGGGGAACCCGAAUUCAUUCUGACCUUGUCUCACAAAAUCUAUUAUAUCUCAUGAUUUACAAUUCCAUUGCUCACAUCAUUUCUUUUAUAAGAAACUAGACUCAAUAAGCUUUAAUUUCAUAUUUUAUUCAUCCUCUAAUUCAAUCUCUACAAUUUUUGGUGAUUUUUCAAAGUUACACUACUGCUGCUGUCCAAAACUGCUUUAGUGCAAAAUGUUGAUUUCCAUUUUGCCCCAAAUUUCACAGUUUAUACAAUUCGGUCCUUUCUCAAUUAACCCCUCAAUUAAUCUAAUUUUCUCAAUUAGUACUUUACUAGACAUUAUAAGUUGUUACACAACUAUUGAAAUUCAGAAUUUCCACAUAUAACUCUAUCUUCAAACUCUUUUACUAUUAGGUCCCAAACAUUCACUUUCUAUUCAAUUCUUUCAAUAAAAUCAGCAUAUGAACAAUUUAAAGCUCUAAUUUCAUGCUAAAUCAUCAUAUACUUCCAGCACAUAUUCAUAUCAACUUUCAACUUCUUUCAUAAAAUCAAAAACUAAUGAAUUUAACAAGUGGGCCUAGUUGUAAAAGUCAUAAAAAUACAAAAAUUUCAAGAAAUAGUCAAGAAUUGAACUUACUUGUAAUAAAAAUAUGAAGAACCAGCUUGAAGAAGCCCUUC
RNAcentral lists this long non-coding RNA (4094 nucleotides) under Gossypium barbadense (sea-island cotton). Its description in RNAcentral is "long non-coding RNA (GBAR_LNC019631)". Lineage: Eukaryota; Viridiplantae; Streptophyta; Magnoliopsida; Malvales; Malvaceae. The record is from RNAcentral.